RNAcentral lists this ribosomal RNA (505 nucleotides) under uncultured bacterium. RNAcentral describes it as "partial 16S ribosomal RNA". It matches the Rfam family "Bacterial small subunit ribosomal RNA", at positions 28 to 507 of the family's 1533-position model. The record is from RNAcentral.
GACGAACGCUGGCGGCGUGCCUAAUACAUGCAAGUAGAACGCACAGUUUAUACCGUAGCUUGCUACACCAUAGACUGUGAGUUGCGAACGGGUGAGUAACGCGUAGGUAACCUGCCUGGUAGCGGGGGAUAACUAUUGGAAACGAUAGCUAAUACCGCAUAAUAUUAAUUAUUGCAUGACAAUUAAUUGAAAGGUGCAAUUGCACCACUACCAGAUGGACCUGCGUUGUAUUAGCUAGUAGGUGAGGUAACGGCUCACCUAGGCGACGAUACAUAGCCGACCUGAGAGGGGGAUCGGCCACACUGGGACUGAGACACGGCCCAGACUCCUACGGGAGGCAGCAGUAGGGAAUCUUCGGCAAUGGACGAAAGUCUGACCGAGCAACGCCGCGUGAGGGAAGAAGGUUUUCGGAUCGUAAAGCUCUGUUGUAAGAGAAGAACGGGUGUGAGAGUGGAAAGUUCACACUGUGACGGUAUCUUACCAGAAAGGGACGGCUAACUACGUG